CGGUACUGGUCUAGAAACAGUGCGCUGGGGGAACCAGACACUUCCGUCAGCAGCCGGUUUUAGGGAACAGACAGACCACCUGCCUCUGUAGCAAAGACCAUCACUAACUUCACAACAGGUGUCCUGCCUCCACUCCAACUGCGACAAGUGGAAAAUAAUCAUUUACGGGAAGCAGGACGGUGCUGCCUUGUGGCCGCAGAUUUGCACAAUCAAGACGCUUUCAGGUUUUGCAACAGAACCCGAGAGGUGGGGUCAGAGUCUGCUGUUGGGGAAAGAGCUGGCUGGGGACCAGGGAUGAGAGAGGUGCCUGAACUUUGGCCCAGCGUCGGGGUGAGCUGGCAGACAGCCGCUCCUGAGAACAGGCUGGCGUCAGGGGUUUCUGACUGGGUCUUUCACCUCCUCGUGUGACACUGCAGGCUGCUGGUCACCCUCUGGAUUGGCUGCCUCAGUCAAGUCCUUACCUCCGGUCCCAUCUGCUGGGCCAGGAUGUCACCUCUUUCCUCCUUUUCUGCGGUGAUAUGGUGCAUUGAGAAUAGCUGACAGUGACUUCGCACAAUCCAGUUCCUGCUAUAGAAUUCUGCAGUUUCGCCACGAGCCCAAAUAAGAGGAAAUCUGUCCUCCGCCUUGCUUGUUCCAGCAACUGAGGAUGCUACACUGGCUGCGCAUUUUGAGGAGGUUGUGCUCACCCUGAUGGUGUCGGCGGUGUGUUGAAUAAUAUAAAGGCAGCCGCAGCAGUAAAAUAACGAGGGUGAGCCCAUGUGAAUGAGGUGGGCCUGGAGGGACCAAAUCAGAGAUUCCCAAUUAAGGGUUCACAAACAAUGCGAAAUGGCAUGUUCAGGAUUGACCACUGAUAAGAAUGUUCCAGCUAAUUAAAACGUCAGGGUUGCCUGGUUUGCCAGGAUUUACAAUCAGCCUAGGAGGUAACACUUGUCCGCUGGUCAGUUUCUGCUGAUAAGAAGUUCCGCUUGACAGUUACUGAGGCCUUUGAUAAAUAAAAUAUGGGAAAACAGAUGAAUUAUUACUUAAUAAAUGCAGCGUUGUUUUCAGAGUGCAGAGGUUGUCAGCUGGCAGCCUGAGGGCGGGAGCCAAUCCUCGGACAUCUUCUCCUUGGUCUGUACAGGAGUUUUGGUUUUCUUUUACUAGUUUGAGCCGACAUGAAAGAAAGGAGAUAUUGCACACAUACACGCCCACAUACACACACCCCAAACCCAGACCUGGGGCUUCUCUUGCAAACUAGCCCCACUGGCUGCAUGCUUGUGGCUGCAGCAUAAGACGCUGUAGCUGCAUAUCAGCUGGUGCUCAUCAAUGGGACGUGGGGGCGCCACCCCUCUCAGCUUCGUGACACGGGUGCCGUGCUGGUGGCCAUGCAUCAGGCAUUUGCGCUGUGUCCUCACGCCUCUGUCUAAACUGGGAGGGAGAAAAGCUAGAACAAGGAUGUAUAUCAGGUUUUUUUUGGCUUCCAGCCUGUUUGCCUCAUUGACUUUAUCUGAUGGCCUCUUAAGGUGAGGGCUCAGCAAACUACGCCCACAGACCCAGUCUGGCCCGACACCUGUCUUCCUGGGUAAAGUUUCAUUAGAAUGCAGCCAUGCUCAUUUGUUUACAGAUUGUCCAUGGUUGCUUUCACAUUACCAUGGCAGAGCUGAGUAGCU
Molecule: long non-coding RNA, 1649 nt
Filed under: Equus caballus (horse)
Lineage: Eukaryota; Metazoa; Chordata; Mammalia; Perissodactyla; Equidae
Description: lncRNA (ENSECAG00000046149.1)
Source: RNAcentral